GAUGAACGUUAGCGGGAGGCUUAAUACAUGCAAGUCGAGCGGUAAGUUUUUAUAGCAAUAUGAAGACCUAGAGCGGCGCACGGGUGAGUAACGCGUACACGACCCUGGCCUAAACUGGGGGAUAGCCUUGGGAAACUGAGAGUAAUCCCGCAUGUGAUUAUGUUACUGAUGGUGAUAUAAUUAAAGCUUCGGCGGUUUAGGAUGGGUGUGCGUCUGAUUAGCUAGUUGGUAGUGUAACGGACUACCAAGGCGAUGAUCAGUAGGGGCGUGAGAGCGUGGCCCCCCACACGGGUACUGAGACACGGACCCGACUCCUACGGGAGGCAGCAGUAAGGAAUAUUGGUCAAUGCCCGGAAGGGUGAACCAGCCAUCCCGCGUGAAGGAUGAAGGGGCUCUGCCUUGUAAACUUCUUUUGUAUGGGGCGAAAAAGGGGAUUUAUCCUCGACUGACGGUACCAUAAGAAUAAGCACCGGCUAACUCCGUG
This 484-nucleotide ribosomal RNA is filed under the name uncultured bacterium. RNAcentral describes it as "bacterial SSU rRNA". It matches the Rfam family "Bacterial small subunit ribosomal RNA", at positions 28 to 507 of the family's 1533-position model. The record is from RNAcentral.